This 73-nucleotide transfer RNA is filed under the name Gyps fulvus (Eurasian griffon). RNAcentral's name for it is "tRNA-Asn". Lineage: Eukaryota; Metazoa; Chordata; Aves; Accipitriformes; Accipitridae. RNAcentral also lists the same sequence under 1 other name. The record is from RNAcentral.
UAGGUAGAAGCCUGCUGGUUGGGGCACCUAGCUGUUAACUAGGGCAUUAUGGGAUCGAGGCCCAUCUAUCUAG